RNAcentral lists this long non-coding RNA (1311 nucleotides) under Mus musculus (house mouse). RNAcentral's name for it is "predicted gene 12295". Lineage: Eukaryota; Metazoa; Chordata; Mammalia; Rodentia; Muridae. The record is from RNAcentral.
CAGGUUCACAGCAGGUUGAGAUGGCUGCGGUGACAUCCGUGCUGGCACGUUUUUAUGAGCAACCAUUCGUAACGAACGUACUUGCCACAAAGCAUAAUUUCCAUGACACCAAGCUGAUUCACAGGCAGUUUUCUUUCUGCACAACAACACGGCUGAAGGACGGCUUGGUGGAGGCAGACUCCGUUUCCUAAGGGCUUAUCCCAAGUUAGAGUUCAGAGGGAAGGGAAUAGAACGCGACUUGUCCACCAAACAAAAUAUGCGUGUUACUACAGUUGUAUGUAGUGGUCAGGCAAAAAGAAAAUCAGAACUUCCAAAGCUGGAGUGUCAGGUGGUUGUGAACUACUCAACCUGGUUCCUGGGAACCAAACUCAGGUCCUCCGCCAAAGGAGCACAUGCACUUAGCCACUGAGUCAUCUCUGAAGUCCCAGAAACCUCUGAAUGCCCAGGUGACAAGACCAAGGCUGAGAGACUAGGAAAGGGCUAAGAAUCUGAGUCACUGGCUGAGCAAACUACAGGUCAAUGGUGGACCUUCUCAAAAGCAAUACAUAAAUGAUCGAGGAACAAAAGCAUCACAUCAUCAACUUUUGCCCUCCACAACUGCCUACAGAGUAUAGAGAUUAAGUUCUUCACAACUCCUCACCUGCCUAGUUGAUCAGCCCAGCCAUUCUUUCCAUUUAUCUUCUGCAAUCAAGAGAAACUCUUCUGGACAAAAAGAUGUCCUCUGCAGAUGGCACCAGUCAAAAGAACCCAGUAAACACCAAACCUUGGUCUGCAGACAUCAGGAUGUCCCCAGAUGUGGUGUCAUUUCCAACUUGAGAGCAAUGGAGCUAUUUUUGAAUGCUGUUAGUGCCAAGACCUACACCUUCGUGACUAGUGUCCUCACAUUAACCCAAAUCGUUAAUCCACUUCUGAGAAGUUCUAGUGGCCCAAAAGUAAACCUACACAGACUAUUACAUUCAUAUUCUUACAUAAGGUGAACCAGAAGUAGACUCUAGUCAAAAGCGAAGAAAGUUAUACAAUGCUUAUUUGGUCCCCUACACAUAAAAGACUUGAAAAUUUGAGGGUUGAGGAAAUUGCCUGUUUUCAUUAUAUUUAUAUAUAAGAACCAAUCAGCAAUAUCUUUAAAAAGAAAGGAGCCGGGCGGUAGUGGAGCACGCCUUUAAUCCCAGCACUUGGGAGGUAGAGGCAGACAGAUUCUGAGUUCGAGGUCAGCCUGGUCUACAAAGUGAGUUCCAGGACAGCCAGGGCUAUACAGAAAAACCCUGUCUCAAAAAAAAAAGAAAGAAAGAAAGAAAGAAAGAAAGAAAGAAA